Long non-coding RNA from Paralichthys olivaceus (Japanese flounder), 1516 nucleotides. RefSeq lists it as uncharacterized. Lineage: Eukaryota; Metazoa; Chordata; Actinopteri; Pleuronectiformes; Paralichthyidae. The record is from RefSeq and is a predicted model, not a curated record.
UCUGCUCCAACUAUGGCUCAGUGUUGCUCGGGCUCUCCACGGGAGCGCGUCGUGCCAUCGCCAGAGGAGUUGGAGCUGAGAACAUCAGUGCACUGGAACAUCAAGGGGGAGCGGUUUCUUCUUGUUUUUAAAUUCCUGCUCGGAAAUAACCGCACCGAGCUGUCUGCUUGAUUUACCCGUGCGCAAAUCAUUUUACGCACGGAUUCUCUGGACGCAUCAAGAGGAUUAAACGCUGACAUUACAGCACUGACCCGCGUGGAGUUAAUAUUAUUAUUUGUAUAAGUGAAACUUCAUCGCAAUGGAAACAGAUGAUGGAUUCUACAGUCCAGCUGAGGGUCGUCUUGUUGGAUGUAAGGAAAUCAAGCGGUGUCUGUUCCUCCUGCUGCCCGGUCCCUGCUGCUGGACAAGCUGUUUGUCGGACACACGAGUCUCUUGGGAUACUUCACGCGUGUUCGAGGGGAGCCAGUGUCAUAGAUGGCCAAUACCAUGAUAGUUUUUCGGGAAAUUCCUUAUGGUGGAUUUCAGGUACAAUAACCUGGAGUAUAUAUUUUUUUUUUUUGGAAGUGAUGCUCAGCAGAUGUGCAGCAAAUUUGGAUAAUGACGGGACGCAUCAACUCAUCCAGCAGAAUGAAGGAAUCCAAAUCAUGGAAUAAGAAGUGAACCUUUAAUUGCUUCCCGGGAAUCUUCUGAUGAUCUCAGAUGAGCAUCAAGAAGAGGCUGAGUAAUGGAAACAUGAUCUCCAGUGAUUCAACAGGAUCAUACUAAAUCCCAGCUUGGACUGCGGACCAGCAUCCCCUGCAGCAGAUGCUUGCUCUUGGCAUGACUGCUGACAGCAUGAGCUUCGUCACUGACAAUCUUGCUGCUCAGGAUCCGCGCCAGCCGCUUGGACUUGGAGGAGCUCUGACAUACACUCAGCAGGACAGCGGCGUGUAUUCCGCCGCUCAGACAUUAUGGAACAGAUCAGUCAACCCUGUCUGGAGAGAUGCUCAAGUAGGAAAGCCAAAUCAAUGAAUGUGCAUUUGCCGUAGUUACCACAAUGCAUCUACAUAUUAUUUGACUUUUUCUAAAUUGAACCUGGAUUAAUAUUUUCCUGUAUAUGCAUCUGCUUUUGAUAUCCAGCGCUUAUUCAUGCUGUUGUUCAUACGCUGUACCGUAGUUGUGACAUUUACUGUGUUAUUCUGGGACAAGUAUCAACAGGCGCUGGAACUGUAAAUGGAAUAUAAUCAGAUGUUAUUUUCAUUUUUUAAGAAAUUUUUUUUGCAAACCGAUGGCAAUGCUUUUACCAGUGCAGGCACACGUGAAGUUUGUGGAGUGAAGAACUCAAUAAAUUUCUCCUGUGGUGUAAAAACUAAUUAAUACACAUGUAAUUGAGAUUCCUCGGAAGGAUCACUCAGUCACACAAUGGCUCUGUGUGUGGUUAAUAUUCCUGUUGGGCUGCUUAUUUCCAUGAUGAUUUAUUGCACCAAACCUUUAAUUGUGUUCUUGUGUUGUGUUAUUUGCAGAAAUAAAAAACUUU